This 497-nucleotide ribosomal RNA is filed under the name uncultured bacterium. RNAcentral's name for it is "partial 16S ribosomal RNA". It matches the Rfam family "Bacterial small subunit ribosomal RNA", at positions 28 to 507 of the family's 1533-position model. The record is from RNAcentral.
GAUGAACGCUGGCGGCGUGCCUAAUACAUGCAGGUCGAGCGAACGGACGAGAAGCUUGCUUCUCUGAUGUUAGCGGCGGACGGGUGGGUAACACGUGGAUAACCUACCUAUAAGACUGGGAUAACUUCGGGAAACCGUAGCUAAUACCGGAUAAUAUUUUGAACCGCAUGGUUCAAAAGUGAAAGACGGUCUUGCUGUCACUUAUAGAUGGAUCCGCGCUGCAUUAGCUAGUUGGUAAGGUAACGGCUUACCAAGGCAACGAUGCAUAGCCGACCUGAGAGGGUGAUCGGCCACACUGGAACUGAGACACGGUCCAGACUCCUACGGGAGGCAGCAGUAGGGAAUCUUCCGCAAUGGGCGAAAGCCUGACGGAGCAACGCCGCGUGAGUGAUGAAGGUCUUCGGAUCGUAAAACUCUGUUAUUAGGGAAGAACAUAUGUGUAAGUAACUGUGCACAUCUUGACGGUACCUAAUCAGAAAGCCACGGCUAACUACGUG